Molecule: long non-coding RNA, 240 nt
Filed under: Solanum tuberosum (potato)
Lineage: Eukaryota; Viridiplantae; Streptophyta; Magnoliopsida; Solanales; Solanaceae
Description: long non-coding RNA (STUB_LNC002344)
Source: RNAcentral
GUUGCUAUAAAUUGUUACUUAAAGAAGGAACUAACAGAAAACUACUCUAAUAGUAGGACUUACGACCAAAGCAUGACUUGUGCUGAGUAUUGAGGACCAAGUCAGCACACCUCAACAAAUGAGAUAGAUGUACACAUUUUCUUUUAUCAGGAGAUGGAUGUACACAUUAUUAGUCACAAAUCAGUACCAUUAUCAUUAUAACUUGAAAAUUAUGGUCUCUGCUUCUUUUUGUUUCAGUUG